UGAGGAACCUGCCCUUCUCUUCGGAAUAAGCGUGGGAAACCGCGUCUAAUGCCGAAUACGACCUCCUUUCGCAUGAUCGGAGGUGGAAAGCUCCGGCGGAGAAGGAUGAGCUCGCGGCCUAUCAGCUAGUUAGUGUGGGUAAUGGCCCACCAAGGCGACGACGGGUAGCCGGCCUGAGAGGGUGACCGGCCACACUGGGACUGAGACACGGCCCAGACUCCUACGGGAGCAGCAGU
This 236-nucleotide ribosomal RNA is filed under the name uncultured bacterium. RNAcentral's name for it is "partial 16S ribosomal RNA". It matches the Rfam family "Bacterial small subunit ribosomal RNA", at positions 118 to 355 of the family's 1533-position model. The record is from RNAcentral.